UAGGGAAUCUUCCGCAAUGGACGAAAGUCUGACGGAGCGACGCCGCGUGAGCGAAGAAGGUCUUCGGAUCGUAAAGCUCUGUUGUUAGGGAAGAAGAAGUACCGUUCGAAUAGGGCGGUACGGUGACGGUACCUAACGAGAAAGCCCCGGCUAACUACGUGCCAGCAGCCGCGGUAAUACGUAGGGGGCGAGCGUUGUCCGGAAUUAUUGGGCGUAAAGCGCGCGCAGGCGGUCCCUUAAGUCUGAUGUGAAAGCCCACGGCUCAACCGUGGAGGGUCAUUGGAAACUGGGGGACUUGAGUGCAGAAGAGGAGAGCGGAAUUCCACGUGUAGCGGUGAAAUGCGUAGAGAUGUGGAGGAACACCAGUGGCGAAGGCGGCUCUCUGGUCUGUAACUGACGCUGAGGCGCGAAAGCGUGGGGAGCAAACA
Molecule: ribosomal RNA, 428 nt
Filed under: uncultured Geobacillus sp.
Lineage: Bacteria; Bacillati; Bacillota; Bacilli; Caryophanales; Anoxybacillaceae
Description: bacterial SSU rRNA
Rfam family: Bacterial small subunit ribosomal RNA
Source: RNAcentral